GUUGAACGCUGGCGGCAGGCCUAACACAUGCAAGUCGAACGGUAACAGGGAUCAGCUUGCUGAUUCGCUGACGAGUGGCGGACGGGUGAGUAAUGUCUGUGAAACUGCCUGAUGGAGGGGGAUAACUACUGGAAACGGUAGCUAAUACCGCAUAACGUCGCAAGACCAAAGAGGGGGACCUUCGGGCCUCUUGCCAUCGGAUGUGCCCAGAUGGGAUUAGCUAGUAGGUGGGGUAACGGCUCACCUAGGCGACGAUCCCUAGCUGGUCUGAGAGGGUGACCAGCCACACUGGAACUGAGACACGGUCCAGACUCCUACGGGAGGCAGCAGUGGGGAAUAUUGCACAAUGGGCGCAAGCCUGAUGCAGCCAUGCCGCGUGUAUGAAGAAGGCCUUCGGGUUGUAAAGUACUUUCAGCGGGGAGGAAGGGAGUAAAGUUAAUACCUUUGCUCAUUGACGUUACCCGCAGAAGAAGCACCGGCUAACUCCGUG
This 490-nucleotide ribosomal RNA is filed under the name uncultured bacterium. Its description in RNAcentral is "partial 16S ribosomal RNA". It matches the Rfam family "Bacterial small subunit ribosomal RNA", at positions 28 to 507 of the family's 1533-position model. The record is from RNAcentral.